Molecule: unclassified non-coding RNA, 299 nt
Filed under: Hevea brasiliensis (rubber tree)
Lineage: Eukaryota; Viridiplantae; Streptophyta; Magnoliopsida; Malpighiales; Euphorbiaceae
Source: RNAcentral
ACAAUCGCAUCAAGAGCUUAGUGACAGAAGAAUUGAAGCAGUACUUCAGGCCAGAGUUUUUGAACAGAUUGGAUGAGAUGAUUGUAUUCCGUCAGCUCACUAAGUUAGAGGUUAAGGAGAUAGCUGAUAUCAUGCUUAAGGAGGUCUUUGAGAGGUUGAAAGUUAAGGAGAUAGAACUUCAAGUGACAGAGAGGUUUAGAGACAGGGUGGUUGACGAGGGAUACAACCCUAGCUAUGGAGCACGACCUCUGAGAAGAGCUAUUAUGAGACUUUUAGAGGACAGCAUGGCUGAGAAAAUG